ACCGGUUUUUCCUGAUUUGUUUCUCUUCUCUCCCUUCCAGAUCGAUCACCUUCCGUUCUUAAAAAAGGAUCCUGAUUUGUUUCUCUUCUCUCCCUUCCAGAUCGAUCACCUUCCGUUCUUAAAAAAGGAUCUCCUUCCCGAUUCGUCCCAAAAACAAAUCCUUCCGAUUCUGAUUUUUCCUUCCAUUCUUUCCAAACCAGUGCCCACCCGAUCUAAAUCUAGACAAGGGCUGCCUCCCUCCCGUCCAACCCAUCCCGUUAGUUCUACAAGCCAUGGAAGAGAGAGGGGGAAAAGGACAUGCCGAUGUACUACCGCGCACCAGGCCGCUGCUGCUGAUCGCGUGUUGGUUCUCCUCCGUCCACCCCCACCUCCAACUCUAUCUACGGCCGUCGCGACAAUGUAGAUGCCCAGUCCACCGCCCUAGCAAACUGUGGGCCUACGGUGGUGCUCACCCAUGGCGAUGUCGCCUUGCCCUUGAGGCCACCGCCAUGGACGACAGCGACGCGCGUCAUCAUCCGUUUCUGUGAGCCCGCCACCACCGUGGUCGUGAUGGUCGCGCCCCAGUCGCGAUCCCCUGGUGGCUCUCUCUUCAUGCAUUCAAUGGGUCAAUGAGUUCAUCACUGACAUCGAGGAACAUGUCGGUGAACUCGGGUCCCAUCGAUUGGCGCCUGGCUUGCUUGUUACUAAUAAGUUUGGGUUCAGUAGAAUAUGUAAUUUUGUUCCUUCUGCAGGAGCUUCUUGCAGCUGUGGACGGGAUGUUGUUGGCUAAUGCGGCUGCAGCCGCUUUCUCACACUGUUGACUUGUGCCACUUCCGCUCAUGGAAUUGAUCCAGGCACGUUGGACCAAUUCUGGAAGGUGCAACAUGAAGAAGUUCAGGGAGUUGUCGGAGUUUCAAUAUGGUUUUCAAUAUGGUUCAGGAUUGAUACAUCAAAUAUGAACUGAACUUGAAAUUAUCCUACAAUGUAUUGACUGCUCGGAGCUAACUUGACUACGCCAGAUUUCUUGUAUGGCUCAAAGUAGAUAGUGUCCCCCCUUAUUAUCAGAGAGGUACUACUUCAAACAUCCCUUCUUAAUGUUUUAUGUCAUGGUAUACAGUAUGAUGGAGUGUUAGUUGGCUUGACUUUUGUGGCACUCAUUGAUAACUUUUUCGUUUAGGAGUUUUUGUGGCAUCCUGAUCCAUGAGAGUAUGCUCAUGUUGAAGAAGUUAUAGUCAUAAUGAGGGGCGCGAUAAAUAUUUGUUAUCUGGCACGCAUUCUAAUGAACAUCACAUGUGGACCAUUUACAGUUUUUGUUAUUGGAACUCCAUUGCACUACUCAUACAGUAAAAUAUGAGUGCCAUGUCGGAAUAUGGUUCUCGAGCUGAAAGGUCAUAUUCGAAAUUGCAGGUUCUAUGACAGUGGAUGGAUGUUCGUAAAUUAGUAUUGCUUUUGAGUUGGAGCUGGAAUAAUAUAUGUGCUGCAUUUAGUUAUAUAUAUGAACACCCAUUGUAUAUUUCUUGCAAGACAUGAUAACUACUAUUAUUUGGAUUGUUCCCAUGAACUGGUUUGACCUCGAUUAAGAAGUACAAAGUUUGUAGCCUUGUAGGUUGUUUGAUCUA
Molecule: non-coding RNA, 1598 nt
Organism: Aegilops tauschii subsp. strangulata
Lineage: Eukaryota; Viridiplantae; Streptophyta; Magnoliopsida; Poales; Poaceae
Source: RefSeq, a predicted model, not a curated record